ACGGGAGGCAGCAGUGGGGAAUAUUGCACAAUGGGGGAAACCCUGAUGCAGCGACGCCGCGUGAGUGAAGAAGUUAUUCGUAAUGUAAAGCUCUAUCAGCAGGGAAGAAAAUGACGGUACCUGACUAAGAAGCCCCGGCUAACUACGUGCCAGCAGCCGCGGUAAUACGGAGGGGGCAAGCGUUAUCCGGAUUUACUGGGUGUAAAGGGAGCGUAGACGGUCUGGCAAGUCUGAUGUGAAAGGCAGGGGCUCAACUCCUGGACUGCAUUGGAAACUGUCAGUCUUGAGUGCCGGAGAGGUAAGCGGAAUUCCUAGUGUAGCGGUGAAAUGCGUAGAUAUUAGGAGGAACACCAGUGGCGAAGGCGGCUUACUGGACGGUAACUGACGUUGAGGCUCGAAAGCGUGGGUAGCAAACAGGAUUAGAUACCCUGGUA
This 434-nucleotide ribosomal RNA is filed under the name uncultured Lachnospiraceae bacterium. Its description in RNAcentral is "partial 16S ribosomal RNA". It matches the Rfam family "Bacterial small subunit ribosomal RNA", at positions 341 to 792 of the family's 1533-position model. The record is from RNAcentral. Lineage: Bacteria; Bacillati; Bacillota; Clostridia; Lachnospirales; Lachnospiraceae.